CCUGUGCUUAUCCAUUUGCAAACACGGGAAAUGAUGACAGUGGUUGGAAGCUUUGAAGAGACUGGGGGAAGGGGAAAGAGAGAAGCCAGAAAGAAAAGCAUUGGGGGCUAAAAGAGACCUUGUCCAGAAAAGACUGAUAAAUUCUUCUUUUCAGAUUCCUUGAUCACUGUGCUGGAACAAUGAUGCCCGCCCUGAAGUCUCCUGAUCAGGGGGCACUGCUCUCACAGGGACCAAAGGAGAAGGGAGAAGUCUCCGCCACAGCAACUGUGCUACUUGUCAAAGAGGCAACACUAAAGUGCUUAGGACCUUGGUUUGGAUCCCACAGGAGGAACAAGGUGCAGCAGGAAAAACCCUUAAACUGUCAAGUCUGAACUUUGGGCAACAUCUUCAAAUAACAGUAGGAAUAUGUUUGACACACACCCUGUGUUGAAAAUUGCCACUAACUUUGUGAAUCUUGUAGCAGUUUUGAACUGCAUACCAACACUUUGCUAUCUCGGUGCAACAGGCUCUGCUGGUCUUGCCUAAUGCUGUUUGGAAUCACUGGAAGCCCAUUCCUCAGUUUCAGUCUCCUUUCAGUCUCUCCUCCUCUAUAUGUUAACAAACAUGCUAAAAAAAUGGGAUCAAAGCAGUACUUGCAGUCAGAUCACCUGGAUCAUUCAUUUUUGUUAAAAAUUAAAUAUGUCUUAAAUGGCUCAUUUAUCCUGAGGGUUUUUGGUUUUUUCCCUUUCUACCCAUUUCUCAUGCUGAAGGACACCAAUGCUGUAAAGUGCUCGAACUUACUGCUGAGUUUAUGGAUGCAGACAGUAAUGUCACUUGGCUUUUUAGGCCCUUUUUUUAGGCUCCUAACACUGUACAAAGGAGGAAAGUGUUGUUUACCAUAUUUUACCUGUGGCGAAUUGUAGUACUUGCACUGUGGAAUGACUGAGCUGGGAAGAGUACUAAAGCCUCUGGCAGGUAUAUUGCAUUUCCAGUGAUUUCUGUGAGCAUAUUCAUGUGCUUGUAGUUAAGUAAAAGCUUUACCACUUCCCCUGAUCUGAAACAAUCCUCCCUCCUCCUUUCCUCCUCCUAAAGCCCAAAUCAAAAAUGCUUACCCCGGAUUGUUUGCUGAAACUAGACUGAUAAAAAAAAAUAAUAAUAAUAAAAAAAGGGCAUGAAUGAACAUGUGAAACGGGCUGUGGAGUAUUAGCAGGGCUUGUCUUUGUGGGCUUGAAAAGCCCAUGACAAUGAGCUCCUCCACUGGGAGUGGAGAGGAGCCCACAUGCAAAGGAGGGUCUUGGGCUCCGUGUUUCAUUAAAGGAAGGUUUCAGCCUUUUCUCUUGGAAAAAAAAAAAAGCUUUGAAAAUGGAAAGCAACACAAACUGAUCAUUAUGGUUGAAAGCGCCAUCAUUAAAAAAUCUCUCGUCAUUCACUGGCUCCUGACAGCUGGUCGCUGGGGCCUGAAUAAACGCAGCCAGCACCACGUGAAUUUUGGGGAAGAAGCUCCAU
Molecule: long non-coding RNA, 1485 nt
Organism: Melospiza melodia melodia
Lineage: Eukaryota; Metazoa; Chordata; Aves; Passeriformes; Passerellidae
Exons: 3
Source: RefSeq, a predicted model, not a curated record